RNAcentral lists this ribosomal RNA (468 nucleotides) under uncultured bacterium. RNAcentral describes it as "partial 16S ribosomal RNA". It matches the Rfam family "Bacterial small subunit ribosomal RNA", at positions 28 to 507 of the family's 1533-position model. The record is from RNAcentral.
GACGAACGCUGGCGGCGUGCUUAACACAUGCAAGUCGAACGGAAAGGCCCUGCUUUUGUGGGGUGCUCGAGUGGCGAACGGGUGAGUAACACGUGAGUAACCUGCCCUUGACUUUGGGAUAACUUCAGGAAACUGGGGCUAAUACCGGAUAGGAGCUCCUGCUGCAUGGUGGGGGUUGGAAAGUUUCGGCGGUUGGGGAUGGACUGGCGGCUUAUCAGCUUGUUGGUGGGGUAGUGGCUUACCAGGGCUUUGACGGAUAGCCGGCCUGAGAGGGUGACCGGCGACAUUGGGACUGAGAUACGGCCCAGACUCCUACGGGAGGCAGCAGUGGGGAAUAUUGCACAAUGGGCGGAAGCCUGAUGCAGCAACGCCGCGUGCGGGAUGACGGCCUUCGGGUUGUAAACCGCUUUCGCCUGUGACGAAGCGUGAGUGACGGUAAUGGGUAAAGAAGCACCGGCUAACUACGUG